RNAcentral lists this ribosomal RNA (374 nucleotides) under uncultured bacterium. RNAcentral's name for it is "bacterial SSU rRNA". It matches the Rfam family "Bacterial small subunit ribosomal RNA", at positions 524 to 898 of the family's 1533-position model. The record is from RNAcentral.
UACGAACUGUGCAAACGUUAUUCGGAAUCACUGGGCUUAAAGGGUGCGUAGGCGGUCGCACAAGUCAGGUGUGAAAUCCCCCGGCUCAACCGGGGAACAGCGCUUGAAACUAGGUGACUAGAGUGAGGUAGGGGUACGCGGAACUUCUGGUGGAGCGGUGAAAUGUGUAGAUAUCAGAAGGAACGCCGGUGGCGAAAGCGGCGUACUGGGCCUUGUCUGACGCUGAGGCACGAAAGCUAGGGAAGUGAACGGGAUUAGAUACCCCGGUAAUCCUAGCCGUAAACACUGAGCACUGGAGGGGAGGGGCUUCGGCCUUUUCCCUCGUAGCGAAAGCGUUAAGUGCUCCGCCUGGGGAGUAUGGUCGCAAGGCUGAA